GGGCGCUUGGCACAGGGGUAGCGCGCACGCUUCGCAUAAGAAUUUGCGUGAGGUCGUGGGUUCAAAUCCCACAGUGUCCA
This 80-nucleotide transfer RNA is filed under the name Schizophyllum amplum. Its description in RNAcentral is "Auriculariopsis ampla tRNA". It matches the Rfam family "tRNA". Rfam says of the family: Transfer RNA (tRNA) molecules are approximately 80 nucleotides in length. The record is from Rfam by way of RNAcentral. Lineage: Eukaryota; Fungi; Basidiomycota; Agaricomycetes; Agaricales; Schizophyllaceae.